Molecule: non-coding RNA, 148 nt
Filed under: Nomascus leucogenys (northern white-cheeked gibbon)
Lineage: Eukaryota; Metazoa; Chordata; Mammalia; Primates; Hylobatidae
Source: Rfam by way of RNAcentral
GCCAGGUGUGGUGGUGCACACCUGUAAUCCCAGCUACUCAGGAGGCUGAGACAGGAGAAUCACUUGAACCUGGGAAGUGGAAGUUGUAGUGAGCCAAGAUCAUGCCACUGCACUCUAGCCUAGGUGACAGAGUGAGACUCCGUCUCCA